This is a small nuclear RNA of Microtus oregoni (creeping vole), 102 nucleotides long. The record is from RefSeq and is a predicted model, not a curated record. NCBI's taxonomy places the organism in Eukaryota, Metazoa, Chordata, Mammalia, Rodentia, Cricetidae.
CAGCACAUAUACUAAACUUGGAAAAUUUGAAUGAUACAGAGAAGAUAAACAUGGCCCCUGUGCAAGGAUGACAGGGAAAUUCAUGUAGUGUUCAAAGAAAAG